AUGGGAAUCAGGCUCCUCUGUCGUGUGGCCUUUUGUUUCCUGGCUGUAGGCCUCGUAGAUGUGAAAGUAACCCAGAGCUCGAGAUAUCUAGUCAAAAGGACGGGAGAGAAAGUUUUUCUGGAAUGUGUCCAGGAUAUGGACCAUGAAAAUAUGUUCUGGUAUCGACAAGACCCAGGUCUGGGGCUACGGCUGAUCUAUUUCUCAUAUGAUGUUAAAAUGAAAGAAAAAGGAGAUAUUCCUGAGGGGUACAGUGUCUCUAGAGAGAAGAAGGAGCGCUUCUCCCUGAUUCUGGAGUCCGCCAGCACCAACCAGACAUCUAUGUACCUCUGUGCCAGCAGUUUAUG
Non-coding RNA from Homo sapiens (human), 344 nucleotides. The record is from the annotation of a RefSeq genome assembly. Lineage: Eukaryota; Metazoa; Chordata; Mammalia; Primates; Hominidae.